AACCUCGCUCGUGCUGUCGAACGAGCAGCUAAUCGAGGCGGACGCAUUUCGAACAUCGCGUAAAGGAACGGCAUCGUCCUGCUACCAGGAACGCGCUUGCUGCAGCCUCACAGAACAUCCCAGGAGGCGGUUCCCGAGACCUGCGUGGGACCCGCUCGCUGAGAUAGGCGUCAAGGACACCGCGGCUCCGUUCAACACCAUGCAUGUACCACGGACUGCGCGAGGAGCCGGGAACCAGGCGGUGGCAGCAUCGAGGGUCUCCCGACGCCUGCUAUUGCAGAGUUCGCGACGUCCGAGUAGGCGUGGAGCAGAAGCCGCCGCAAGAAUGAUCCGCCAGGUCGGCGAGUCUGGUGUAGUGGCUUCUCCCGACAACAGUCUCGACGCCUCGUGCUGCAGGCUACGCAUCCACCCGCGUGACACGCUGCCAUGUGUGUUGGCGAUGCUGAUCUCAAUCAAGGCUGAGAGCAACGGGGACACGUAUGACAUGGCUAGACCAAGCAGCUGCCUUUGGAGGCUGCACGGGAGGCUCACCGGGUUUACAGUGGACGGCAGUACGGCGUUGUCGGCGCGGAACGGCGCACACUGUCGACAGCAGUCGCCCGCCGUCUUGUGCAUCGCCGCACGUGUGGCUGCCAUCUACUGGGCUGCACCUUGUCACAGCUGCAGCGCCACAACAACCCGAGGCUCUGCAGGCGGCAUCACUGUCUUCUCAGCGGUGCUUAUUCAAGCAAAGUAGCUGACCAUGCGCUCGCUGCUGACCACGUCAGCGGCGACUUCGGUGUGCACUCCGUUCGCUGGCACGAUGGCUGCACCAGACGUAUGAGAGCGCACUGGCCGCUCCACUGCGUUCAAGGGCUGGCGUACCUGCGCAAGGAUUGGCGAGGACGCCCCCAGCAACCGCUGCGAGCUAGUCGCCGUGCCGCUAUCCCCUUGACGUUGGCACAGCGAAACUGGCGCCGCUUGCGGCGAGUGCGUGCGCUUUCCUUUCGUAAUUUCCUUUAUUUUUUCAAUGUAUUGGUGUGAAUGUACUAUUGUUAUUUGUGUUUCCAAUACAGUUUUUAGCG
Molecule: long non-coding RNA, 1064 nt
Organism: Dermacentor albipictus
Lineage: Eukaryota; Metazoa; Arthropoda; Arachnida; Ixodida; Ixodidae
Source: RefSeq, a predicted model, not a curated record